Molecule: ribosomal RNA, 2776 nt
Filed under: Pseudomonas syringae pv. philadelphi
Lineage: Bacteria; Pseudomonadati; Pseudomonadota; Gammaproteobacteria; Pseudomonadales; Pseudomonadaceae
Description: bacterial LSU rRNA
Rfam family: Bacterial large subunit ribosomal RNA
Source: RNAcentral
AGCGCAUACGGUGGAUGCCUUGGCAGUCAGAGGCGAUGAAAGACGUGGUAGCCUGCGAAAAGCUUCGGGGAGUCGGCAAACAGACUGUGAUCCGGAGAUGUCUGAAUGGGGGAACCCAGCCAUCACAAGAUGGUUAUCUUACGCUGAAUACAUAGGCGUAAGAGGCGAACCAGGGGAACUGAAACAUCUAAGUACCCUGAGGAAAAGAAAUCAACCGAGAUUCCCUUAGUAGUGGCGAGCGAACGGGGACCAGCCCUUAAGUUGUAUUGAGAUUAGCGGAACGCUCUGGAAAGUGCGGCCAUAGUGGGUGAUAGCCCUGUACGCGAAAAUCCCUUUGCAAUGAAAUCGAGUAGGACGGGGCACGAGAAACCUUGUCUGAAUAUGGGGGGACCAUCCUCCAAGGCUAAAUACUACUGACUGACCGAUAGUGAACCAGUACCGUGAGGGAAAGGCGAAAAGAACCGCGGAGAGCGGAGUGAAAUAGAUCCUGAAACCGUAUGCGUACAAGCAGUGGGAGCCCACUUUGUUGGGUGACUGCGUACCUUUUGUAUAAUGGGUCAGCGACUUAUUUUCAGUGGCGAGCUUAACCGAAUAGGGGAGGCGUAGCGAAAGCGAGUCUUAAUAGGGCGUCUAGUCGCUGGGAAUAGACCCGAAACCGGGCGAUCUAUCCAUGGGCAGGUUGAAGGUUGGGUAACACUAACUGGAGGACCGAACCGACUACCGUUGAAAAGUUAGCGGAUGACCUGUGGAUCGGAGUGAAAGGCUAAUCAAGCUCGGAGAUAGCUGGUUCUCCUCGAAAGCUAUUUAGGUAGCGCCUCAUGUAUCACUGUAGGGGGUAGAGCACUGUUUCGGCUAGGGGGUCAUCCCGACUUACCAAACCGAUGCAAACUCCGAAUACCUACAAGUGCCGAGCAUGGGAGACACACGGCGGGUGCUAACGUCCGUCGUGAAAAGGGAAACAACCCAGACCGUCAGCUAAGGUCCCAAAGUCAUGGUUAAGUGGGAAACGAUGUGGGAAGGCUUAGACAGCUAGGAGGUUGGCUUAGAAGCAGCCACCCUUUAAAGAAAGCGUAAUAGCUCACUAGUCGAGUCGGCCUGCGCGGAAGAUGUAACGGGGCUCAAACCAUGCACCGAAGCUACGGGUAUCACCUUUGGUGAUGCGGUAGAGGAGCGUUCUGUAAGCCUGUGAAGGUGAGUUGAGAAGCUUGCUGGAGGUAUCAGAAGUGCGAAUGCUGACAUGAGUAACGACAAUGGGUGUGAAAAACACCCACGCCGAAAGACCAAGGUUUCCUGCGCAACGUUAAUCGACGCAGGGUUAGUCGGUCCCUAAGGCGAGGCUGAAAAGCGUAGUCGAUGGAAAACAGGUUAAUAUUCCUGUACUUCUGGUUAUUGCGAUGGAGGGACGGAGAAGGCUAGGCCAGCCUGGCGUUGGUAGUCCAGGUUUAAGGUGGUAGGCUGAGAUCUUAGGUAAAUCCGGGAUCUCAAGGCCGAGAGCUGAUGACGAGUGUUCUUUUAGAACACGAAGUGGUUGAUGCCAUGCUUCCAAGAAAAGCUUCUAAGCUUCAGGUAACCAGGAACCGUACCCCAAACCGACACAGGUGGUUGGGUAGAGAAUACCAAGGCGCUUGAGAGAACUCGGGUGAAGGAACUAGGCAAAAUGGCACCGUAACUUCGGGAGAAGGUGCGCCGGUGAGGGUGAAGCAUUUACUGCGUAAGCCCAUGCCGGUCGAAGAUACCAGGCCGCUGCGACUGUUUAUUAAAAACACAGCACUCUGCAAACACGAAAGUGGACGUAUAGGGUGUGACGCCUGCCCGGUGCCGGAAGGUUAAUUGAUGGGGUUAGCGCAAGCGAAGCUCUUGAUCGAAGCCCCGGUAAACGGCGGCCGUAACUAUAACGGUCCUAAGGUAGCGAAAUUCCUUGUCGGGUAAGUUCCGACCUGCACGAAUGGCGUAACGAUGGCGGCGCUGUCUCCACCCGAGACUCAGUGAAAUUGAAAUCGCUGUGAAGAUGCAGUGUAUCCGCGGCUAGACGGAAAGACCCCGUGAACCUUUACUAUAGCUUUGCACUGGACUUUGAAUUUGCUUGUGUAGGAUAGGUGGGAGGCUUUGAAGCGUGGACGCCAGUCUGCGUGGAGCCAACCUUGAAAUACCACCCUGGCAACUUUGAGGUUCUAACUCAGGUCCGUUAUCCGGAUCGAGGACAGUGUAUGGUGGGUAGUUUGACUGGGGCGGUCUCCUCCUAAAGAGUAACGGAGGAGUACGAAGGUGCGCUCAGACCGGUCGGAAAUCGGUCGUAGAGUAUAAAGGCAAAAGCGCGCUUGACUGCGAGACAGACACGUCGAGCAGGUACGAAAGUAGGUCUUAGUGAUCCGGUGGUUCUGUAUGGAAGGGCCAUCGCUCAACGGAUAAAAGGUACUCCGGGGAUAACAGGCUGAUACCGCCCAAGAGUUCAUAUCGACGGCGGUGUUUGGCACCUCGAUGUCGGCUCAUCACAUCCUGGGGCUGAAGCCGGUCCCAAGGGUAUGGCUGUUCGCCAUUUAAAGUGGUACGCGAGCUGGGUUUAGAACGUCGUGAGACAGUUCGGUCCCUAUCUGCCGUGGACGUUUGAGAUUUGAGAGGGGCUGCUCCUAGUACGAGAGGACCGGAGUGGACGAACCUCUGGUGUUCCGGUUGUCACGCCAGUGGCAUUGCCGGGUAGCUAUGUUCGGAAAAGAUAACCGCUGAAAGCAUCUAAGCGGGAAACUUGCCUCAAGAUGAGAUCUCACUGGAACCUUGA